This 728-nucleotide long non-coding RNA is filed under the name Dromaius novaehollandiae (emu). RNAcentral describes it as "lncRNA (ENSDNVG00000013160.1)". The record is from RNAcentral. Lineage: Eukaryota; Metazoa; Chordata; Aves; Casuariiformes; Dromaiidae.
GGAAAGACCAAAGUACACUCAGCAAAGAGCACCCUGUUCCCUUCCUAGUCUGCCACUGAGCAGGGCUGACCCUUGAGAGCAGUCACAGGUAAACUCUCACAGCCACUUUGGAGGGCAGGAUGACCCUCUCCCAGCUGCUACACCAAAAAAGCCUGCAGAGAACCAGAUCCCAAGGAGAAAGUACCUUCUCCUCUUGAGCUACUGCUUGCCAUGUCCUCGUCAGCUGGUUUCCUCACCGAUAUCUCUGCAGCUUCUCCCAGCUCGAGUCAUCUGCUGUUCUCUCCCUUUCAGAGCAAGGCAGCAACAGCUUUUGUUGAGUUCCCUGACCAUACAGACGUCUGUCUUCCCUCACUGGAACUGGCCUAACAGAAUUCUUCCCAUCGACAUCAGCUAGUGAAGGACCACCUUUCCUUGCUACCUUCCUUGAAGGACAGCUCUGGGCCGCAGCUCCGGGCAGCACCGUUUCUGCACUAAGGUGCCACGGUCUGCAGGGUUUUCCGCCCGAGGRCUCACCAUGACAAAGCUUCUCACCAAAAAUCACCUGCCACGUCUUGCUGAGCUCUUCACCAAGACAUCUUGGUCAUACUAUAUAAACCUUGCCCAACACCAAAGCAUUAAUGAGCUCAUCAGACUGCUGACUCCGGUCGGCUAAUUCACACCAAACACUACCACUAUCAAACCUUGCUUAUUCUCUCUGCUCUCUGCUAAGACUCUCCCCUUGCACAGCC